UAGUCUAGUUGGUUAGGAUAUUCGGCUCUCACCCGAAAGACCCGGGUUCAAGUCCUGA
This 58-nucleotide transfer RNA is filed under the name Vitis vinifera (wine grape). It matches the Rfam family "tRNA", at positions 8 to 63 of the family's 71-position model. From Rfam's summary of the family: Transfer RNA (tRNA) molecules are approximately 80 nucleotides in length. The record is from Rfam by way of RNAcentral. Lineage: Eukaryota; Viridiplantae; Streptophyta; Magnoliopsida; Vitales; Vitaceae.